This 605-nucleotide long non-coding RNA is filed under the name Phoenix dactylifera (date palm). RNAcentral's name for it is "long non-coding RNA (PDAC_LNC006584)". The record is from RNAcentral. Lineage: Eukaryota; Viridiplantae; Streptophyta; Magnoliopsida; Arecales; Arecaceae.
AAGCUCACAACCAAACUUGUUGUUUUACGAGCUCACAACGAACUCGGUCGGUUUUCCCAGGCUCACCGACUAGAACCAACCCCGAUUGUUUUCCCGGGCUCACAAUCAAACCCUUACACACGUUGGUUUUAACUUGGCUCACCAACCAACCUUAAUCCCCUUGAUUCAAUCCCCCGAUUGAAUCAAGUAAAUACAAGAGAUAGAAGAAAACAGAAAAUAGCUUCUCAAAAAGCAGAUUUAAAACAAUAUAAUCGUAAAGGAGUUAGAAGCCCUCAAACGCUUUUAAGCUGGUGAAGAGGUAUGGCUUCUGGAACUCCAGUCUCCUCUUGAAAGAGUGGUCGACUUGAAUGCAGGAGGAGGAAGCUUUGAUUGUUGGGAAGAAGUUGUUGGAGCAGUAAAUGCAGAUCUCCCCUUUUUCGUUUAAGAGCACUUGGAGAGCUUGAAAACUUGAAUGCUUGGAGUGGAAUAUCUGUUCUCUCUCUUGCUACAGUCCUCUGUGGCUAUUUAAGCCAACCCCCACGGAAACUAGCCGUUACUCUGCUUUUUCUGGCCGUUCUGCACACUCUGCGCAGCCUGACAAUAUGACCGUUGGUGGGUUGGAGUCG